CCUGGUUACUCGAGCGAUCUGGAAACACCUCUUCCCAUCCCGAACAGAGAAGUGAAACUGAUCAGCGCCGAUGAUACUCAUUCCAAACCGGAAUUGGGGAAAGUAGGUCGUAGCCAGGU
Molecule: non-coding RNA, 119 nt
Organism: Candidatus Roizmanbacteria bacterium
Lineage: Bacteria; Candidatus Roizmaniibacteriota
Source: Rfam